UACGUAGGGGCUAGCGUUAUCCGGAAUUACUGGGCGUAAAGGGUGCGUAGGCGGUCUUUCAAGCCAGAAGUGAAAGGCUACGGCUCAACCGUAGUAAGCUUUUGGAACUGUAAGACUUGAGUGCAGGAGAGGAGAGUGGAAUUCCUAGUGUAGCGGUGAAAUGCGUAGAUAUUAGGAGGAACACCAGUGGCGAAGGCGGCUUCCUGGUCUGUAACUGACACUGAGGCGCGAAAGCGUGGGGAGCAAACAGGAUUAGAUACCCUGGUAGUCCCUGA
RNAcentral lists this ribosomal RNA (275 nucleotides) under uncultured prokaryote. RNAcentral's name for it is "partial 16S ribosomal RNA". It matches the Rfam family "Bacterial small subunit ribosomal RNA", at positions 524 to 800 of the family's 1533-position model. The record is from RNAcentral.